Betta splendens (Siamese fighting fish) is the source of this 5073-nucleotide long non-coding RNA. RefSeq lists it as uncharacterized. The record is from RefSeq and is a predicted model, not a curated record. Lineage: Eukaryota; Metazoa; Chordata; Actinopteri; Anabantiformes; Osphronemidae. The transcript has 2 exons.
CAAUAAGAAUAAAGCCUCUGAUAACUGUCUUCCGUUAAUAUUUCCGGCCAGAGUGCAGUGACUCACUGCUGCCGUACUGUGCUGUAAGCCAGCCUGAAUCUGAUUAUGUAUGAUGACAACCAGCACCUGCUGUGUAUGAAAAUGCCUGUUUAUUCUUGCACAGCAUCUGUUCAGUGCUCCUCUAAAGUGAGGUCAAUUAUAUGUCCAACAUAAUGCAUCAGAUGUGACUCAAACAAUCACACAGAUCAUCUGGUUUUACAGCACAGCCGUGCUCAAAGCAACACUAAACAAUACAUUUCCCCUAAUUUACAUGGUCCUGGCGUACUUUGUCUUUUUUUUUAAAUGGGUUUCCUUCAAAAUAACAUUGCAGAGUUUUAACAGUGCCUUAAUUAGGAUUCAGCAACAGUUAAAUCCCUCAGAUGGAAAAACAAGCAAAACAAAUCAAACCAUAUUCAGGUUUCAGAUGUUUUAAAUGUAUAAUAUGUUCAUGUAUAGUUAAACCCUAUUACUGGUCAUUUCCUGGAUGUUUGAAAACCAAGCAGGUGGAGGUUCUGGUUUCCGUUGUGAAACACAGUGGAGAAUACAGCAUCCUGCGCAGCUUAAUCAGAUAUUGAUCUGUUUACCUCCAAGGCUCAUCCUUGAGCCCUGUUCAACCUGUAUUAUUCAUGGAAUUAUUUAUAGAAACACAUCCUUAGCUUUCUUCCUGCAUUGUAACCAUCUGCCCCACAUACAUUACACACAGUAUAAGUAUAUAAAAAAAGUGAACUUUCAACUGUUAAAAGCCACGCGCAAAUCACUGAUUUCCACGACUGUGUUGCACAAGUUCCUCAGAAAUGACCCAGUUGGACUAAUUUGUGUAAAAUAUUCCUAUUAUUCUUUUUGUGUGCAUGGAAACCUGGUCUUUAGUUAAUAAUGAUCAGGCUGUGUGUUUUAUUCAGCGCCAGGAGCUACAUGUACUUUGAGUCGACCUCUUUUUCCACAUACAUACAGCAGUGCUGUAAGUGCUGACCUCUGAGGUUAUUGUGGUAGGAUGGAUUAUGGAGUCCAAAUGAUACUCAUCUAUCUCAUGCCUGCUGUAUAAUUACACUGAAGGUCCUGUAGUACACGGUGAUACUCAUACAGUAUGAUAAUAUCUAAGUCAUAAAUGCUUGCGGUAUGGAUUAUUUUGCCCACAAAAUAUUCAUCCUAUUAAAAAUAGCCUUUUAGGGCCACACCAGUAUAAACUGGUAUUGACAUCAUGCUGUUAGUCCAUCUGGCAAUUAUCUGAUAAUGGACUGCUCACUCUCUGUUCAGAAGAAGCUGUGUGUGAAAAAUGAGAAAGUUGACAGUUCACCACGCACAUGGUGACAGGGGGAACUGGGAGGAUGCCAAGCUCCUGUCAACUCUGUCCACUCCAGUUUAAGUCUCACACCAGUGCAAAACAAAAAUCAUGACGCUGCUCAGGUGUGGGACCAUAACUGUGGGAGACUCUGCCUGCAGAAGUGCCUGGGAUGAUUGCGAUCACAGAACGCAGCUCCUUAAAUCAACAUGGUCAAACACACAGACGAUGGAGCACCAGUCCAAUGAAAUCAAUGAAUGGAAGGGGAACUACAGCCAUUCUAGAGGUGUUGGUCCCCUCAUCCAUUCAGGGCAUUUGUAUAGAGAGACAUACCAUGUAACCAUCUGACACUACCAAUUUAUGGGUGUUUAAACAUGUCUUUGUAUUGUUUCAAAAGACUUUCCUAAAGAAGCGCUGUGUAAACCGAGAAAGCCCAGUUUGAGCUUUGGAGCUGUAAAGUUCAGAUUCUCAGUCUUUAAUGAGGCGUCUAAUUGUUCUAGAAAUAAAAGCAGCUAAUUUGCUGAUUGUGUUUUGAUCAGUGCCAAGUGGCGCCGCUGCCCACACCCCGGGGCUACACCCUGUUAUAGCCCAGUUCCCAGCUGAGCUGGUCCAUCUUGCCAGCAUUUGUUCGUGACGUGAAUUCAAAUGCGAUUUCAAGCCUGUGAACUAAGUGGUUCGGUGUUAGAUAAAGUUGGGCUGGGUUUAGAAACCGUUUCACUAACACGUGUGACAUACAAUACAGGACUUACAGUUUUACUCAACAUAUCAAUAAUAAAACAAUAACCAGAUUCACGAUUGAUAAUCUAGAAACCCAUUUCCUUGCUGUUCUAAAAAUGAUAACCCGUCUUUACCAAAUUCAAAACGAAUAUCAAAGCUGACCAUGACUUUCAAUAUUUUUUUAUCACAGAAGACCAAGCUGUAGAUUCGCUUGUUUUCCGUUGCAAGGUGUUUUUGAACAGAGCGAGGAAAGAGUUUGUUUCGCAACACGGCCGUCUGCUGAAACAAGAAUGUCAGUGACUAAACGAAAGGCCAACUGAGCACGCAAGGUCAAGCUUUUCUCCUCAUGAAAGACUGUCAAGGCCAGAGUGAUCUGCUUGUUUUUGUCUCAUACGCUCAUAUAAAGAGAGAAGUAGUGUUACUCUGUUGGAUAUAACAAAAACGCAUUAAGGUGGACUGAAGGUUUUGGAGCAAUAGUGUGUUGUGGUUGCUAAGGAUACUGCAGCUGCUCUUCCUGUUACAGUAGCUGUGGGUAAUGUCAACAUUUGCAUGAAUUAGUUGAAGGUAGAAUCAUUACAUUUACUCAUUUACAUUCAGUUAUAUUUGUUGUUUUGCUUGCUAGAAGUUUGUCCUAUCAAUUUGUUUUAUAUGCUGUGGGAGACUUACUUUUUCAGUCGUGAUUCUUAAUGAUGCAGGUUAUGAUUUAUUUGGUCCAUUAUUGUUGCUAAAGCAAACAUUUCAUGCACCUGAUGGGUUUAAAAGUGCAAAACGUGUUUAGAUGGGUUUUUAAUGUGAUUUUAUGUCACCAGUCAAAGUGUUUUAAGUCAUACAGGCAUUAACUCUAAUACUGACUGAAGGCUUUAGUGUGGCGGUGGACACACUGUGGCCACUCUGUUAAGCAGAAGGCAUCUGACUGUUGUGACACAUUUCUCAUUGUGUGAUCAUACUAGUAUUAAACUAUGAAUACAACUGUGAUGUGGGAGCAGAUAUAGAUACAAUUAGAAAUUACACUGAAUAUACAGUAUAUAAGAACUGCAUUGCGUGAACUGUGCUCUUUGAGAACAAUACUGCAAGUAAAUAUACAGUGAACUAAGUGAUGAAUUAUUUUAAUAAGUAGAGUAUGAAACAAAGGUCCAAGCAAAUAAUAAUAAAGGGCCAAUGUUUUAGGCCAAUGUUUUGAGGUGAAUUUAAGUUUGCUUAGAAUUACUUUGAAUCAUUGGAAGAGACUUUUUCCUUUUUCUUUUACACCCACGCAUCUUAUACCCCACGGCACCAUGCUACAGUAGCACAGUGCUGAUAUGAUCAUGUAUUUUCCCGGACUGGAAACUAUUAAAUGCACUGUAGCAUGUCAUGUUCGUCUGAUUUGUUUUUUGUGUAUGGGUGUUACGGUGAAGACGACCAUGCUAUCUAUUUGAAAUAAAUGUGUUGUGGCUAUCAGAAUAUCUGAAGUGUAUCUGACAUGUUGCAUUCAGCUACUCCUGUGUGUCUAUAUAUACAUGUGUUUAGUGCCACAGCAGUGCAUUCUGUAAUGUAAUGCAGUGAACAGUCUAAAGAAUCCUGAAUGCAGUCGGGUAUAAGAAGGGAGGGGUUGACUUUGAAUGAUGUUUUCAUUUCCGUGUUCUGCUUUAUUUUUUUUUUGUGUGUAAAACAUGCUCCAGAAAACAACUUGUCUUUUUGUCCAGCUCCAUUGUUGAAGAAACCACGGCUUAUUAUGAUAUCAUGGGGUACAGCAACAAAAUUCCUCUUGCAUUGUUGAGAGAGGCGUGUCAUUGAUGUGCUAGGCUCGACCUUGUGCUGUAGACUGCUCUCACAACAAUGUGAGCGGACCAGAGAUUGGUAGAAAGGCCCUUAUUAGCGGCUGCCAGUGGACCAUUGUUAUAAUAGCAGGGAAAAUGUAACUCGCUUCUUAUUAACAUGCAGAUUGAAUUUAUAUCAGUGAAGCCAAAAGCAGCAUAAAAGACAUGCUGUUAUCCUCGCUGAUAACAUGAUGGAUUAGCAACUCCUAUUUUAAGUGUAGGGAUGCUGUGGCUCACAGCAAAAGCGCCACAUAACAUAAUCUACUCCUACACGUUUCAUUCGGCUCCUGAUGCUGCAGUCCCUUCAUAAGCUCUCCACAACGUCUCCACCCUGCCUUUUGUGUAAUUACAUUCUGCGCUGGGUGAUCCCACGCUGCCGCCUGCCACUGAUCUCUGGAAGUGGAGAGCAAAGAUACCUAGGAAGGAAAAUAAAGGGACAUGUUCACACAGUGUGCAGCGUGGAGGAGUUUGCUGGGAAAAUGGGUGUAUUACUCCCUGGGCUGCCCUGGAGGAGGAGAGGAUUAAAGAGAGACUGUCUGAAGGUGAAAAGGUCUUUGCUUUCUAUUGGAUCAAAAGCAGCAGAUCAAAAGACACAUUUUUUUCCUUCAGGAGAAGAAUUGCUUUUCAUUGUUAAGUGUUAAAAUAUCAAAACAUACAUAAUUCACGUUGUAAUAACUUGUUGGAACUGAAUUUUAGGAAUUUCUAUUAUGGGUCCAGAUGUUAUGUGCAGGAAGCACCAUUUCAUUCACCAUAAUUUAUGGCCAGCUGACUGUAUGUACCUCCAUCUAUCACUUUGCCUGCGGAACUGGUGUGUCUACAGGAAGUGCUUUGACUUUAUCGAGUCAACUUAUUUGGAGGCGACACCAGCUGGCCCGCCGUCUGCUUUUGUGCUCAUACAGCCCACUGUAGCAGCGCCGUCCCAGUUAUCUGUCAUUCAUGCUGCCUGUCGCGCUGCUGUGGGACAUAUACUUACUAUAUUGCCAUUUCCUACCAGGGGGGAUAAAUUCACGCUUGUCAAGAGUUAAUUCUGUUGGUACCAAGUUCACGCUGCCUGUUCUUUCAAACUGAUUUGAUACAGACAGAGGAAAACCUAAUGCUGGUCCUCCACCGAAAUCUUUGUGUCACAUGUCGCUAUUUUUACACUUUCAAAUGUUUAUCCUCAUACAUAGACAAAGUAUCACCCUGUGGUCAUCAAAAAAUCAUUUUUUUAAAGAGUGAAUAUUAAAUUUAUAUUCAUUUGCA